GGGCCCGCACAAGCGGUGGAGCAUGUGGUUCAAUUCGACGCAACGCGAAGAACCUUACCCAGGCUUGAACAGCGAGUGACCACCUACGAAAGUAGGCUUCCGCAAGGACACUCGUAGAGGUGCUGCAUGGCUGUCGUCAGCUCGUGUCGUGAGAUGUUGGGUUAAGUCCCGCAACGAGCGCAACCCUUGUCUGCUGUUGCCAUCACGUUAUGGUGGGCACUCUGCAGAGACUGCCGGUGAUAAACCGGAGGAAGGUGGGGAUGACGUCAAGUCAGCAUGGCCUUUAUGUCUGGGGCUACACACGUGCUACAAUGGCCGAUACAAACCGUCGCGAUACCGUAAGGUGGAGCUAAUCGGAGAAAGUCGGUCUCAGUUCGGAUUGUAGGCUGCAACUCGCCUGCAUGAAGUUGGAAUCGCUAGUAAUCGCGGAUCAGCACGCCGCGGUGAAUACGUUCCCGGGCCUU
This 464-nucleotide ribosomal RNA is filed under the name uncultured bacterium. RNAcentral describes it as "bacterial SSU rRNA". It matches the Rfam family "Bacterial small subunit ribosomal RNA", at positions 917 to 1382 of the family's 1533-position model. The record is from RNAcentral.